Molecule: ribosomal RNA, 447 nt
Filed under: uncultured bacterium
Lineage: Bacteria
Description: bacterial SSU rRNA
Rfam family: Bacterial small subunit ribosomal RNA
Source: RNAcentral
UCGGGAAUUUUGGGCAAUGGGCGAAAGCCUGACCCAGCAACGCCGCGUGAAGGAUGAAGUAUUUCGGUAUGUAAACUUCGAAAGAAUAGGAAGAAUAAAUGACGGUACUAUUUAUAAGGUCCGGCUAACUACGUGCCAGCAGCCGCGGUAAUACGUAGGGACCAAGCGUUGUUCGGAUUUACUGGGCGUAAAGGGCGCGUAGGCGGCAUGACAAGUCACUUGUGAAAUCUCUGGGCUUAACCCAGAACGGCCAAGUGAUACUGUCGCGCUAGAGUGCAGAAGGGGCAAUCGGAAUUCUUGGUGUAGCGGUGAAAUGCGUAGAUAUCAAGAGGAACACCUGAGGUGAAGACGGGUUGCUGGGCUGACACUGACGCUGAGGCGUGAAAGCCAGGGGAGCAAACGGGAUUAGAUACCCACGUAGUCCCUGAGCGGGCUGGCAAGGCGCAU